RNAcentral lists this unclassified non-coding RNA (237 nucleotides) under uncultured fungus. RNAcentral describes it as "sequence contains ITS1". Lineage: Eukaryota; Fungi. The record is from RNAcentral.
GUUAUGUUUUUUAGGCGGCACAGAGGCCACUAAUCAUUCUUUUAUACAAAGGGUUUGUGGUAUGCGGCAUCGGGCGGGGCUCUCGCCGCCACCCUCCGCCGUAAAGGUGCACAGGGGGUUUGUGAAGGUUGAGCGCGACGGGCGACCCGCUGCAAAGGCCCUUUCGGAACCCGAGCAGGGCCGACCCGCCUCGUCAGAGAUACGAUAAUGAUCCUUCCGCAGGUUCACCUACGGAAA